AAGUAGAAAUCACAGAGAGAAAAGCCACAAUGCUACAAUGUGAAGCUCAAGGGUCAUAAUGGACGUCUAUAAAAGAAAAUAAUGAGAGAAAAACCCUAGCUCCACCAAUUUUCUUCCUUUCCAUUUCUCUCGAUCUAAACCUAUCUCUUCAAACUCAUAAAUAAAAUAGCAUCUUUAUUCCCAUUUUCUCUGGAUCUAAACAUAGCUCCGCCAACACAGACAUAGGGUUAAGGAGCUGCACCUGUAAGAUGUUGACCCUUGCAAGCAAAAUUCCUGGAUCCGCCACUGGG
Molecule: long non-coding RNA, 290 nt
Filed under: Prunus dulcis (almond)
Lineage: Eukaryota; Viridiplantae; Streptophyta; Magnoliopsida; Rosales; Rosaceae
Description: sRNA ncRNA
Source: RNAcentral